CCUACGGGAGGCAGCAGUGGGGAAUCUUGCGCAAUGGGCGAAAGCCUGACGCAGCAACGCCGCGUGCGGGAUGAAGGCCUUCGGGUUGUAAACCGCUUUUAACAGGAACGAAAAUGACGGUACCUGUAGAAUAAGGUGCGGCCAACUACGUGCCAGCAGCCGCGGUGACACGUAGGCACCAAGCGUUGCCCGGAUUUAUUGGGCGUAAAGAGCUCGUAGGCGGUUCGAUAAGUCGGGUGUGAAAACUCUGGGCUUAACCCAGAGACGCCACUCGAUACUAUUGUGACUAGAGUUCGGUAGGGGAGCGGGGAAUUCCUAGUGUAGCGGUGAAAUGCGCAGAUAUUAGGAGGAACACCGGUGGCGAAGGCGCCGCUCUGGGCCGAAACUGACGCUGAGGAGCGAAAGCGUGGGUAGCAAACAGGAUUAGAUACCCUGGUAGUCCACGCCGUAAACGGUGGGCACUAGGUGUGGGCUCCAACCAACGGAGUCCGCGCCGUCGCUAACGCAUUAAGUGCCCCGCCUGGGGAGUACGGCCGCAAGGUUAAACUCAAAGGAAUUGACGG
Molecule: ribosomal RNA, 563 nt
Filed under: uncultured bacterium
Lineage: Bacteria
Description: bacterial SSU rRNA
Rfam family: Bacterial small subunit ribosomal RNA
Source: RNAcentral